CUGGUUUGUGUUCUUUCUGGAUUUAAAUGGCAUUCAGAAGGUCAAUGAGAAAGUCCACGUUCCACGUUUUCAUAUCAACUUAAGUUAACCAGGUGGUGUAUC
Molecule: long non-coding RNA, 102 nt
Organism: Alosa sapidissima (American shad)
Lineage: Eukaryota; Metazoa; Chordata; Actinopteri; Clupeiformes; Clupeidae
Exons: 3
Source: RefSeq, a predicted model, not a curated record